This is a long non-coding RNA of Pan troglodytes (chimpanzee), 997 nucleotides long. RefSeq lists it as uncharacterized. The transcript has 3 exons. The record is from RefSeq and is a predicted model, not a curated record. NCBI's taxonomy places the organism in Eukaryota, Metazoa, Chordata, Mammalia, Primates, Hominidae.
UUACUCUCAGGCUCACAUACCUCUCAGAGUCCAGGAGGCAGUGAGGGAAAGCUUUUAAUUCAAAGCCCUAUCCAUCUUCCCAACUCAGUGUGCCCUUGUGGGAAGCCGGUGCGUUUCCAGGGGAGCUGCUGGAGGCUUCUUAUGGCAUGCAGAUCAAGGAAGACCUGUAGACUACAUGCACCCUGGCGCUCCGGGAACGGGGAGCCAUGGAACGUGCGUGAAGCGGUGUGUAAAACUGGAGAGAAAAACCCUAAGGAGACCUCAUCGGAUGUUCCUGUGAUAAUCUAGGCCUCAGGACAGGCAGACUGGGAUGCUUGUGUUACCCCUAACUUUAGAUGACUCUCCCACUGCUCCCCUCCUUCACUGUAGAUUCCCACAAUUUCAGUAUCAAUGUAAUUACAAUUUAGGGGCUUAGAAACUCCUGUAUUUAUUGAGAACCCACUUAAUUUACAUACAUUGAGUUUCAAUAUUGCACAACUCUGUGUGGAGGGGUUAGGGUGGAGGAGACCUGAGAUGACAGAAGGCCAUGUUCUCUAGGGAUGGUCUGCAGCCCUCAGUGCUGUCUCUUUUCCCUCCAGCGCCCCCUCUGUGCCCCCCUCCAAUCCCUGCUCCCCCCAGUCUCUAUAGCUGAAGGCUAGGACGAACUGUGGGGUUGUGAAUAUUUACGCAGGCAGGCAUAGGACUCAGUGACGCAGCUGAGAGCCACGCAAGUGUUUGGUGACUCAUCAGACCUUCUCCAAAGACUUGUGAUAUUUUUCUCCUCUGAAGGGCCGAAAGCAAUUUGCAGUUAAUGAUAGUAUAUGACGCCAGAAGAGUACGCAGACCUUCCGGCUCAUCUUUUCUGUGCCUUGGGUGUUUUGUUUUUGAAAAAACCUAUGUGAAUUAUGUUCCCUUUAGUAAUGUUUAUUUUAUUCUGAUUAUUAAAAUAAUGUAUGCUCAUUGUAGAAAAUACAUAAAUGCAUUAAAUAGGAAAUAAAAAUGCAUGAAUUAUUUUUCC